UCUGAAAGUUUUAUUCUUGCUUUUUUAUUCACUUUUUCUUUAUAUUAUAUGUAAGUUUGGUAAAACUGAAUGUUCAAUUUGCAGUGAUUUAAUUUAUUAAUCAAGUGAUUUUGGAAUUAGUAAUUGAUUAAGUAUUUGCAUAAUUCGUGCCAGCAGCUGCGGUUAUACGAUUAAUACAAGUGAAUAUUAUUGGUUUAAUAGUUAUUUAUAUUUUGAGUUAAACAAUUUUUUUGUAGGGUGAAAUCUAAAAAUUUUUUAUGACUCUUUUUAUGGAUCUUUGAAACUUGAACUAUAAACUAGGAUUAGAUACCCUAUUAUUCUAAGUGUUAAUUAUACUUACCGGGGUAGUAUUAGUUAAAUCUUUAAACCCAUAGAAUUUGGCGGUAUUUUAUUCUAUUCAGAGGAACCUAUUCCGUAAUUGAUAAUACACGAUUAACUUUACUUAAUUUAUUAUUUGUUUGUAUAUCUCCGUUAUCAGAAGAUCUUUUUAGGGUUGUAAUUUUCUUAAUUUAUAAUUGUAGAUUAUUUCAGGUCAAGGUGCAGCUUAUUUAAGGUGAGAAUGGGUUACAUUAUAUAUAUAUAAUGGAUUUUUUAUUGAAAAAUAUUAAUGAAGGUGGAUUUGAUAGUAAUUUAAUUAAUUUUAUUUAUUUGAUAUUAGCUCUAAAAUGUGUACACAUCGCCCGUCGCUCUCGUUUUUGAUUCUAGAUUUAGUGUUUUAAGAUUAGAUGAGAUAAGUCGUAACAUAGUAGAUGUACUGGAAAGUGUAUCUAGUAAGAU
RNAcentral lists this non-coding RNA (777 nucleotides) under Xenocatantops humilis. RNAcentral describes it as "12S ribosomal RNA". The stretch from base 342 to 770 matches the Rfam family "Microsporidia small subunit ribosomal RNA", at positions 751 to 1303 of the family's 1311-position model. The record is from RNAcentral. Lineage: Eukaryota; Metazoa; Arthropoda; Insecta; Orthoptera; Acrididae.